GCGAGUGAAGAGGGAAAAGCUCAAAUUUUAAAUCUACCUGGUUCCCGGGUCGAAUUGUAAUUUGAAGAAGCGAUAUCGGUUUUGAGGUCUGGUUUAAGUUCUUUGGAACAAGACAUCAUGGAGGGUGAGAAUCCCGUGCAUGAUCAGACCAAGAUACCCAAUAUUCGUUUUCUAAGAGUCGAGUUGUUUGGGAAUGCAGCUCAAAAUGGGUGGUAGACUUCACCUAAGGCUAAAUAUCAGCGAGAGACCGAUAGCGAACAAGUACUGUGAAGGAAAGAUGAAAAGAACUUUGAAAAGAGAGUUAAAUAGUACGUGAAAUUGUUGAAAGGGAAACGAUUGAAGUCAGUCAUGCUAGUGAAAAAUCAGUUUAACGGGUUUUGAGUUCUUGAGUAGAGGCAGGGUCAAACCGUUUCUCUUUUGGACUUGAGAUUUGUUGGACGUACUUUUUCUUUGGCAGGUCAACGUCGGUUUCGGGGGUUGUAAAAUACUUGGGGGAAAGUAGCUCUGCUUCGGGAGAGUGUUAUAGACCCUAGGAGAUGCAGCCUGCGGGAUCGAGGAUUGCAGCAAAUGCCUUCUGGCUUGUCGCCUAUUCCUAGGUGUUACCUCUCUUGUGACAACAUUCUUGCCACCGGAGGGUACUAAUGCCUACUGUUUAGAGUGAUCGAAAAUUUUGCUAAGGAUGU
Molecule: ribosomal RNA, 683 nt
Filed under: Diversispora insculpta
Lineage: Eukaryota; Fungi; Glomeromycota; Glomeromycetes; Diversisporales; Diversisporaceae
Description: partial large subunit ribosomal RNA
Rfam family: Eukaryotic large subunit ribosomal RNA
Source: RNAcentral